CACCUCAAGUUUCACAUGUCACAUACGAUGAUACCUGAGCUUAUAUUUUCACUUCCGAACUACAAUAUUGUGAAAAUUCAGUACAAGACACCGCCAAGGGUGGUAAUGCUACCAGGUGCACUAUAGGACCAAGGGUAGAUACCAUAUGUAGAUGGCAAGUUAAAAGCCAACAGUGCUUGAGCUUGAGCCAGAUUCCGGUCAAUGUAGAGAUUGCCAAACUGCUGGAGGUGUAGCUGGUGCGCUAUGGCCUGGACAACGUUAAUGUCCUGGUAGUGAGAUUGUUGCGCCACCAGCCUGAGCUGUUGCAAGACUUGGUUGUUUCUCAGUUGAAACGCAGCUGAUUGCAAGAAGGUGCUUGCCGCAAUGCUAUACUGCUGCCUUACGAACUCAUUAUAUGGGCUAAGCACCUGUUGCUGUAGCAGGAGAGGCGACUGCACCUGAUAUUGCCUAAUAUUUUGACCUAAAACAUCAAACUGCGCAGUGGCGCUGCAUGCAGCAAUAGCAAGGAGAGCAAAGACGAAAAUGAUCUUCAUUGUUGCAGGACACUAGUUCUUUUAAAUUUUUGUUGUAUAAUGCUUGAAUUGUGCGAGCGAUGAGGAGGGUUUUCAUGGAGUUUGUCCAUUUAGAGAUGCGGUGGCACGGAUUUUCUCUCGAUUCCUCAUCGGUUGCUUUAGUGUGUUAGUUUUGCUUGGAUGUCCUAUUAGGAUCUAAGUGAGUCAUGUCAUUUGGAUGUAUGUUCUAUUAGGUGCCCCAACAAAUCCGCUUUGGUGUCAUCAUGAAAGUAACUUUUCUGUCCAUCAUGAUGGUUAGCAGGCAAGAAAGAUAACGAUAUGACUCAUCGCUCACCAUUUGCGUUUGUUUCGUGAGGAUUGAAUCUUUUAUCUAGGUAUGUUUCUCACGUUUACUAAGCUAUUAUUUCACUACUGCAUGCCACGUUGAACUUUAAGGUCGCGCGGCCUCAUGCAUCUUGAAUUAUCAAAUUUCAACAGGAAUGACAAAAUUAUAGUACGACAGGUGCAUUUUAUUGUUUCGUUGAUGCGGUAGUGAAGAAUUUCUUGUAGGAAGAAUUAAGUUAGCGCUGAAGCCUAAAAUCACCAUUCGAGAUAUUUACGAGAGAUCACCAUUAUAAUUUUGCUGAAACAUGAGGUUUAUUAUCCAUUUUGUUUGCAGUGAGACUAUCUACUUUCAAUGCUAGAAUAAACUACUCAAAGCAACGAGUUUGUCAGCAAGAACAACCUCAAUGUCUUGGAGCAUUCCUUAAGUACGACAUCUCAUAAUUUUGAAUUUGGAAGAAGGGUGCAUUUUCUUUAUAGUCACUCUACAGUGAUAGAAUAAACCAAAGAACAUCACAAAUCCGUCUGUCCAGUUUUCACCCCCAUUGUUGCCGCUGCAUGUUUUGCUUCUGUACAGAAAUAAUUAUGCCUACGUUGUUGUUCCAUGAUGCAAAUUGAGCGAGAGCUCAACUCAAGAAUUUAUUAUACACUUCCUUUUUUCAAGAAUGAUGGACAACUAGAUGAUUUUCAAUUAUAAUUAAUAUCUAUAUAUGAAACUUGUUAAUGUACCAAAGUUUAAAAUUUUGAAAACCCGUCUUGAUGUCGCUUGACACAACAUAGUUGCAUUAAGUUACGUGUUUGCAUGACAUUGGCUUGUCAUAUUCACAAUGAUGUUGCAUAUGCGGCCUUUGAUAUACGCUUGUUUUAGUAGUGGAUGGAGAAUCAAAGUUGAUUGCUGCAUCUUUACGUGGUCUGUAUGGUAUACGAUUUUGUUGUGGUGGAUUUAGUAUUUGUCAUAUGUUUUUUGUGUUUGUUCUUAUUGGAAUAAAAUGAUGGACAUCCUUUAUACACUCCAUUUAUAUCUAAAAUACGAAGUAGCUUCGAAUCAAAUUUAAGCGCACAGAAAAAUUGUGGAGUACCAAUCAUGGUAAUUAGCUACGACAAUGCACUAGGAUAUAUCCUUAUAGAGGCAAGCUAUUUAAAUAUGAAAGAUAAUUUUAUUUCUAUUUAUAUCACCUCAAGUUUCACAUGUCACAUACGAUGAUACCUGAGCUUAUAUUUUCACUUCCGAACUACAAUAUUGUGAAAAUUCAGUACAAGACACCGCCAAGGGUGGUAAUGCUAUCGGGUGCACUAUAGGACCAAGGGUAGAUACCAUAUGUAGAUGGCAAGUUAAAAGCCAACAGUGCUUGAGCUUGAGCCAGAUUCCGGUCAAUGUAGAGAUUGCCAAACUGCUGGAGGUGUAGCUGGUGCGCUAUGGCCUGGACAACGUUAAUGUCCUGGUAGUGAGAUUGUUGCGCCACCAGCCUGAGCUGUUGCAAGACUUGGUUGUUUCUCAGUUGAAACGCAGCUGAUUGCAAGAAGGUGCUUGCCGCAAUGCUAUACUGCUGCCUUACGAACUCAUUAUAUGGGCUAAGCACCUGUUGCUGUAGCAGGAGAGGCGACUGCACCUGAUAUUGCCUAAUAUUUUGACCUAAAACAUCAAACUGCGCAGUGGCGCUGCAUGCAGCAAUAGCAAGGAGAGCAAAGACGAAAAUGAUCUUCAUUGUUGCAGGACACUAGUUCUUUUAAAUUUUUGUUGUAUAAUGCUUGAAUUGUGCGAGCGAUGAGGAGGGUUUUCAUGGAGUUUGUCCAUUUAUAGAUGCGCUGGCACGGAUUUUCUUUCGAUUCCUCAUCGGUUGCUUUAGUGUGUUAGUUUUGCUUGGAUGUCCUAUUAGGAUCUAGGUGAGUCAUGUCAUUUGGAUGUAUGUUCUAUUAGGUGCCCCAACAAAUCCGCUUUGGUGUCAUCAUGAAAGUAACUUUUCUGUCCAUCAUGAUGGUUAGCAGGCAAGAAAGAUAACGAUAUGACUCAUCGCUCACCUUAUGCGUUUGUUUCGUGAGGAUUGAAUCUUUUAUCUAGGGAUGUUUAUCACGUUUACUAAGCUAUUUUUUCACUACUGCAUGCCACGUUGAACUUUAAGGUCGCGCGGCCUCAUGCAUCUUGAAUUAUAAAAUUUCAACAGGAAUGACAAAAUUAUAGUACGGCAGGUGCAUUUUAUUGUUUCGUUGAUGCGGUAGUGAAGAUUUGAUUGUAGGAAGAAUUAAGUUAGCGCUGAAGCCUAAAAUCACCAUUCGAGAUAUUUACGAGAGAUCACCAAUAUAAUUUUGCUGAAACAUGAGGUUUAUUAUCCAUUUUGUUUGCAGUGAGACUAUCUACUUUCAAUGCUAGAAUAAACUACUCAAAGCAAAGAGUUUGUCAGCAAGAACAACCUCAAUGUCUUGGAGCAUUCCUUAAGUACGACAUCUCAUAAUUUUGAAUUUGGAAGAAGGGUGCAUUUUCUUUAUAGUCACUCUACAGUGACAGAAUAAACCAAAGAACAUCACAAAUCCGUCUUUCCGGUUUUCACCCCCAUUGUUGGCGCUGCAUGUUUUGCUUCUGUACAGAAAUAAUUAUGCCUACGUUGUUGUUCCAUGAUGCAAAUUGAGCGAGAGCUCAACUCAAGAAUUUAUUAUACACUUCCUUUUGUCAAGAAUGUUGGACAACUAGAUGAUUUUCAAUUGAAAUUAAUAUCUAUAUAUGAAACUAGUUAAUGUACCAAAGUUUAAAAUUUUGAAAACCCGUCUUGAUGUCGCUUGACACAACAUAGUUGCAUUAAGUUACGUGUUUGCAUGACAUUGGCUUGUCAUAUUCACAAUGAUGUUGCAUAUGCGGCCUUUGAUAUACGCUUGUUUUAGUAGUGGAUGGAGAAUCAAAGUUGAUUGCUGCAUCUUUACGUGGUCUGUAUGGUAUACGAUUUUGUUGUGGUGGAUUUAGUAUUUGUCAUAUGUUUUUUGUGUUUGUUCUUAUUGGAAUAAAAUGAUGGACAUCCUUUAUACACUCCAUUUAUAUCUAAAAUACGAAGUAGCUUCGAAUCAAAUUUAAGCGCACAGAAAAAUUGUGGAGUACCAAUCAUGGUAAUUAGCUACGACAAUGCACUAGGAUAUAUCCUUAUAGAGGCAAGCUAUUUAAAUAUGAAAGAUAAUUUUAUUUCUAUUUAUAUCACCUUAAGUUUCACAUGUCACAUACGAUGAUACCUGAGCUUAUAUUUUCACUUCCGAACUACAAUAUUGUGAAAAUUCAGUACAAGACACCGCCAAGGGUGGUAAUACUACCCGGUGCACUAUAGUACCUAGGGUAGAUACCAUAUGUAGAUGGCAAGUUAAAAGCCAACAGUGCUUGCGCUUGAGCCAGAUUCCGGUCAAUGUAGAGAUCGCCAAACUGCUGGAGGUGUAGCUGCUGCGCUAUGGCCUGGACAACGUUAAUGUCCUGGUAGUGAGAUUGUUGCGCCACCAGCCUGAGCUGUUGCAAGACUUGGUUGUUUCUCAGUUGAAACACAGCUGAUUGCAAGAAGGGGCUUGCCGCAAUGCUAUACUGCUGCCUUACGAACUCAUUAUAUAGGCUAAGCACCUGUUGCUGUAGCAGGAGAGGCGACUGCACCUGAUAUUGCCUAAUAUUUUGACCUAAAACAUCAAACUGCGCUGUGGCGCUGCAUGCAGCAAUAGCAAGGAGAGCAAAGACGAAAAUGAUCUUCAUUGUUGCAGGACACUAGUUCUUUUAAAUUUUUGUUGUAUAAUGCUUGAAUUGUGCGAGCGAUGAGGAGGGUUUUCAUGGAGUUUGUCCAUUUAUAGAUGCGCUGGCACGGAUUUUCUUUCGAUUCCUCAUCGGUUGCUUUAGUGUGUUAGUUUUGCUUGGAUGUCCUAUUAGGAUCUAAGUGAGUCAUGUCAUUUGGUUGUAUGUUCUAUUAGGUGCCCCAACAAAUCCGCUUUGGUGUCAUCAUGAAAGUAACUUUUCUGUCCAUCAUGAUGGUUAGCAGGCAAGAAAGAUAACGAUAUGACUCAUCGCUCACCUUAUGCGUUUGUUUCGUGAGGAUUGAAUCUGUUAUCUAGGUAUGUUUAUCAUGUUUACCAAGCUAUUAUUUCACUACUGCAUGCCACGUUGAACUUUAAGGUCGUGCGGCCUCAUGCAUCUUGAAUUAUAAAAUUUCAACAGGAAUGACAAAAUUAUAGUACGGCAGGUGCAUUGUAUUGUUUCUUUGAUGUGGUAAUGAAGAUUUGAUUGUAGGAAGAAUUAAGUUAGCACUGAAGUCUAAUAUCACCAUUCGAGAUAUUUACGAGAGAUCACCAUUAUAAUUUUGCUGAAACAUGAGGUUUAUUAUCCAUUUUGUUUACAGUGAGACUAUCUACUUUCAAUGCUAGAAUAAACUACUCAAAGCAACGAGUUUGUCAGCAAGAACAACCUCAAUGUCUUGGAGCAUUCCUUAAGUACGACAUCACAUAAUUUUGAAUUUGGAAGAAGGGUGUAUUUUCUUUAUAGUCACUCUACAGUGACAGAAUAAACCAAAAGAACAUCACAAAUCUGUCUUUUCGGUUUUCACCCCCAUUGUUGCCGCUGCAUGUUUUGCUUCUGUACAGAAAUAAUUAUGCCUACGUUGUUGUUCCAUGAUGCAAAUUGAGCGAGAGCUCAACUCAAGAAUUUAUUAUACACUUCCUUUUGUCAAGAAUGAUGGACAACUAGAUGAUUUUCAAUUCAAAUUAAUAUCUAUAUAUGAAACUUGUUAAUGUACCAAUGUUUAAAAUUUUGAAAACCCGUUUUGAUGUCGCUUGAAACAACAUAGUUGCAUGAAGUGAUGUGUUUGCAUGACAUUGGCUUGUCAUAUUCACAAUGAUGCUGCAUAUGCGGCCUUUGAUAUACGCUUGUUUUAGUAGUGGGACUAAAUUCAAUGGGACUAAAUUCUUUUAUUCCCUUCUAUAUUAAAUAAUCAAGAUGAGGCAGCAGUGCAAAAUUGAGCCGAAUUUUAGGAAAAUAGGGUUCACCAAGUCGAGUUCACACCGCGUUUCUCUUGCGCAAACUCCACUUGCUGGGGGGCAUUUGUUUGACGGUAUUUUGUGAUCUUAUAAAUCCAAGGAUUAUUUGUAUUAUCAAGACAAGCAAACAAAAGAGCAGCUAUGAUCGUCGCAUUCAUUAAUAUGUGACUCUGUAUAUAGCUUGCUCAAUUGCAUGGGAUGCAUGAGCCAUGCACGUACUGGCAUAUGUAUGUCCUCCUAUAUGGCUAUACAUGGGUACAUGUGUUCAGCCAUAUAUACAUGCUUAGCUAAUCUAUACGUAAGCAUGCAUGCACAAGGAGACCUAAGUGACAUGUGAGCAGCUCAUAAACGAGCGCUCGUGACUAUAUAUGUAUUCACCGUACGUGCAUGUAUACGUACAGAAAUACCGGGUGGUUUCUAUGAGUUAAGAAGCAACAUCUAGCUACACGGUUGAAAUGUGAAGCUGCACGUGGGCCGGCAGCCCAUAGACACAUUGCGUUUUCAUCGUAUAUAUGCGAUUGUAUCAGAAUACAUGCGUACGCGGGAUUUCUCAACUGCAAGCUACUGAUGUGCGCGGCUAGCGCCGGAUAAACCCAACCAACAAACUUCGUCUUAUCCAGGUGAUUCGAAUUAGCGUGAUCUGCAGCAACGUCGCCCGGAGGUAUCGGAACAAACACGUGCAGCCACGUCGGCGCCGGAGUAUGCGCGCCCGUCCGUUAGGUUUUCCCAGCGCUUAUAAAAGCCAACGAGAGCUAACCAGCCAGGGCAUGGAGAAUCAUUCAUAAAACACACAUCCAUCCAUCCACACAUAUGUAGAACAAGAACACAAAGCAGAAGGGCACGCCAACGCGUGCGCUGACGGCCGGCGGCAGCCAACAGGCGCUCUGCCAAGAGACGGCGCCAGGCGAUCGACAUUCGUCCAGCCAUCCCUCUGCCCGGUGAGAAGACACGGCGCGCCAGCCGGCGGCUGUGGGCAGAAUGAGGAGGAGAGAAGCAGUACACGGACAUGGUCUCAUCUACACCAGCACACCGGCGGCGAGUACAGCUCCGUCCUUUUCUUUGUUUCUCUUUCGUUUUGCAGAUUGAUCAUGGAGGAGGAACAUGGAUGUAGAACCACAAGAAGAGAUCGAUCCAUCCACUCAUACAUAGAUCACAUGAGGGAACACACAGAGGCCUCGGCGGAAGGGUACGCCGGCGAGGGUACAGGCAGCCACCCAAUAGACGGCGCUAGGCGAUCGACAUCCAUGCAUCGAGAUCCAUCCGACUCCCAUCAAGAUUCAUCCACAGCUACUUCGCCGGAGCAGGAGAGCACGCCGCCGGUAGCGCUCGGCGCCGGUGUCCAGCAGAAGGACGUUGGAGGAAGGAGAGCAACCUGAACUUGGCCAAUCAACAAGCACGAGAAUUAGAUCAAUGGCUGCCCAAGGUAAAGGCUAACCAAAUAUCGUUCCUUUCCUGUUUUAUCUGCAGCACACAUGCAUGCAUGAGGAUAUUUCUACACACGGCGGGUCAGUGCGUGGUGCAUCGUCGUCGCUAGAGUUGUUGAGCCGACCCAUCUAUGGGCGCCACCUAUAAGCUUCGUCACGUCGGAGUUGAUGACAUGCCGUUCGUCCGCGAUACCUUCGCCUUCAUCACACGGCAGUCGCAGACGCCGUCGAGCCACCCACGUCCACAACUAGGCUGCUGCCUCACCAGAAAUGCUGUUUCGGGCACUAUUCACGCCAUCCCGCGAAGAUCGCGAGAGCUGCCAUGGGCGUUUGCCAAGGCGCUGCCGGCCGAGCGGUGGUCAUCCUCGCCAACUGAUCACCACCUGCCGAAGAUGGUCAUCCCCACGUCGCACUGAUGGAGCGUUGGGAAUAGUCGGAGCAGCCGCGGGCAUCAUCAAGCCAUCCCUAAUCCGCCAGGAGGUCUUGUCAGAUCCAAGGCGAAUGCCAUCAUGCUGCCCGCAUCCAUGAAUGUCGCCGAGUCGCCGAGGCGCUGCCAAGCAGUGCUUGUACCCGCCAAUCGAUCAUCUAUCGGGGAAAGCCGUCGUCCUCUCGCCGCCCUGCCGGAGCGCGCCGAAGAUUGCCGGAGCCACCGCCGAUUGCCAUGAUUUCUCCUGCUUCUAUGUCGGAGGUCAAGCAUCAUGCAUGGCGUCGACAACUAUGGCUGCAGCAACUGAGAGUGAGGGCGACAGCGACAGGAUGACGACGAACCGAUGCUGUUGAACGCCAUGGCAACAAGCUAGCAAAUGCACGCUAAUUAAGCUAAUUAUUGUGGCAACGUGGCCGACCAACUGGAGGGUGACACAUCAUCACCAUGCUUCAGUGCUAUGCACAAGAAGAAGUCGUCAACGCGAUGGCUAAACAAAUCCUGUUGAUUUCAAGCUUUCUCAAUUAGAUACCGAGCUGUGAUUAAAUCCGGCUGCCGUCUAUAUCGUCCAACUCGUCGGCGACACUCUAACGCUCGCCAUCCCUGCUCAAGCUACCGGUGAUGCCGUCUACCGGAUGCCGCCACGUCGUCGAGAUACACCAACGCCCCCAUCUCGCCAACUGCGGCUUCUCUUCCGUAAUGUGCGCCGUACCCUCGCCGGCGAUCGUCGGAGCAGCCACUAGUGUCGCCCGAGCUGUUUCUGAUCCAGGAGAUGGUGGCAGUCGCCGGGAUGCUCCUCGAGGAGCCGUCGACACAUGCCACCCUGCUGGGACACACUGAAGGUCCCCAGAGCAGCCGCGGACACCGUCGAGGUGCUCGUACACCGUCGUCAAGUCCAGCUGUGAUUCUUUCACUUCAUCACGGCGGAGUUGUCAUGUCGACUGAUCUGUUGGCGCUGAUCGCAAGCCUCCGUCAAGAUCGAUGCCACUCGUCCUCAGGACUGAUGCAAUCUGUUCGAGCUGCGGUGAUGAUUCUACUCGUUGCGAUCUCGCCGAGACGUUAAACGUCGUCGCCUUUUGCCGACCGCUGCCUCGCAACACCGUCAAUAUCUACCCACCCUCGCCACCGUUGCAAUCUUGGUGCCCACAAGCCGUCGUCAAGUCUGGCUGUGCUUCCUUCUCUUCAUCAGGCCGAGGUCGUCGUGCUGUCUGUCCACGAUGCCUUCUCUUUGUCACGUCGGAGCGUCAAAGUUCAGUGCCCCUACAUCAUCGUUGAGCCGUUCGUGAUGCCGUCUGGCCAUCCCUUCGUCACGUCGGAGCGCCACUGCUUGGUUCCCGUGCAUCGUCAUCAAGCUGAGGUCGUCGUUUCGUCCAUCCACAAUGUCUUUCUCUCCGCCGCGCCAAGGCUACGAGAUGCCAUCCGGCCGCGAUGCCCUUCACCUCGUCAAGUUGGAGUCGUCGUUCUGUCAUCACGCCAAGAUGAGAUACCGCCUGUCCGUGAUGCUCUCCCUCUUCGUGGAGAUUAAUGGUGUCGCACAUCCGCGUAUUGGAGCAUCGCUCAUCUACGUCAACCUGAAGAAAGAAUGGUGUCAUCUGUGAUGCCAGGAAACCAUUCGUGCUGAAUCUACUCCAACAAAUGCCCUUAGCCGUUCCGCCGACGAGGCAUUUACUUCUUCCAAGGUCGCUGUCAUUACCGGCGCCCUCAUAGAGCCCCUUUUACGGGCUCGUUAUCAUAUCAACUGGAUCAAUAGUAGAUCCAUCAUCUGAAGGAGGUGCUAAGCCAUGUUUGUCCGGCUGUCGUCUACACUGAUUUCUUCAUCAUCUUCAUUACAAGUCCCUGUUGUAUAAAGGGCAUGACAAGUUGGGAGGUGCCUAACCAUGUGUAAUUCGGCUGUCGUCUACACCAACUAUCUUCGUCAACUCUUCAUUACUUUGAUCUCAUCUAGCCAGAAGGUGCCCAACCAUGUAUAUUCGGCUAUUGUGUACACCAACUGACUUCACCAGCUCCUCUUCCCUUUAACACCAUUCUGAUGCCGUUGCUAUGACUUCUCUACCGUCCAAGCUACGCGAGUUCCAUGCAUGCUGAAGAUCACUAUAUCUACACCACCACGUCACUCAAGACAGAUGAGGCGGAGCGACGAGGGCAGGCGGAGUAUAAAUAAAGGCUAUGUCUCCAACACCGGCGCACGGACCGACGAGGCCGUGGAUCGCUGUCGGCGCCCACACACACAUCCACCAUCUUCACCAACAUUCAUCAUGCAUGGAGAACGUAAAGCGAAGACGACGAGACGACCACAAGCAGCUUAAUCGGAGGUUCUCCUGUAGGCCUAUACCUACAGGUAAUUAACUGGGAGCUUCUUGAGGCCCUAGGAACCAGAAGACCACAUCGCUGAUGUCAGAUCUGUCCAACGACAGGCAAAGGCACGCACAUUUUAUAUUAUACAUAGAAACUGUAUCUUGUUAAUUCAAUUAAUAAAGAUCACGUUUUUGUGUCUCUUUUGUGUUUGAUUUACAUUUUGUAUCUAGGUACACUGGCACGCCCGCACUAAUUUUCUUUCUAAACAUAGAGGGAUAUAUAUUCGUAUUUUUUCUAUCCUAAACAAUCACCAUUCGAGAUAUUUACGAGAGAUCACCAUUAUAAUUUUGCUGAAACAUGAGGUUUAUUAUCCAUUUGGUUUACAGUGAGACUAUCUACUUUCAAUGCUAGAAUAAACUACUCAAAGCAACGAGUUUGUCAACAAGAACAACCUCAAUGUCUUGGAGCAUUCCUUAAGUACGACAUCUCAUAAUUUUUAAUUUGGAAGAAGCGUGCAUUUUCUUUAUAGUCACUCUACAGUGACUGAAUAAACUAAAGAACAUCACAAAUCCGUCUUUCCUAUUUUUACCCCUAUUGUUGCCGCUGCAUGUUUUGCUUCUGUACAGAAAUAAUUAUGCCUACGUUGUUGUUCCAUGAUGCAAAUUGAGCGAGAGCUCAACUCAAGAAUUUAUUAUACACUUCCUUUUGUCAAGAAUGAUGGACAACUAGAUGAUUUUCAAUUGAAAUUAAUAUCUAUAUAUGAAACUAGUUAAUGUACCAAAGUUUAAAAUUUUGAAAACCCGUCUUGAUGUCGCUUGACACAACAUAGUUGCAUGAAGUUACGUGUUUGCAUGACAUUGGCUUGUCAUAUUCACAAUGAUGCUGCAUAUGCGGCCUUUGAUAUACGCUUGUUUUAGUAGUGGAUGGAGAAUCAAAGUUGAUUGCUGCAUCUUUACGUGGUCUGUAUGGUAUACGAUUUUGUUGUGGUGGAUUUAGUAUUUGUCAUAUGUUUUUUGUGUUUGUUCUUAUUGGAAUAAAAUGAUGGACAUCCUUUAUACACUCCAUUUAUAUCUAAAAUACAAAGUAGCUUCGAAUCAAAUUUAAGCGCACAGAAAAAUUGUGGAGUACCAAUCAUGGUAAUUAGCUACGACAAUGCACUAGGAUAUAUCCUUAUAGAGGCAAGCUAUUUAAAUAUGAAAGAUAAUUUUAUUUCUAUUUAUAUCACCUUAAGUUUCACAUGUCACAUACGAUGAUACCUGAGCUUAUAUUUUCACUUCCGAACUACAAUAUUGUGAAAAUUCAGUACAAGACACCGCCAAGGGUGGUAAUGCUACCGGGUGCACUAUAGUACCUAGGGUAGAUACCAUAUGUAGAUGGCAAGUUAAAAGCCAACAGUGCUUGAGCUUGAGCCAGAUUCCGGUCAAUGUAGAGAUCGCCAAACUGCUGUAGGUGUAGCUGCUGCGCUAUGGCCUGGACAACGUUAAUGUCCUGGUAGUGAGAUUGUUGCGCCACCAGCCUGAGCUGUUGCAAGACUUGGUUGUUUCUCACUUGAAACACAGCUGAUUGCAAGAAGGGGCUUGCCGCAAUGCUAUACUGCUGCCUUACGAACUCAUUAUAUAGGCUAAGCACCUGUUGCUGUAGCAGGAGAGGCGACUGCACCUGAUAUUGCCUAAUAUUUUGACCUAAAACAUCAAACUGCGCAGUGGCGCUGCAUGCAGCAAUAGCAAGGAGAGCAAAGACGAAAAUGAUCUUCAUUGUUGCAGGACACUAGUUCUUUUAAAUUUUUGUUGUAUAAUGCUUGAAUUGUGCGAGCGAUAAGGAGGGUUUUCAUGGAG
RNAcentral lists this long non-coding RNA (11794 nucleotides) under Oryza sativa (Asian cultivated rice). RNAcentral's name for it is "long non-coding RNA (OSAT_LNC001299)". Lineage: Eukaryota; Viridiplantae; Streptophyta; Magnoliopsida; Poales; Poaceae. The record is from RNAcentral.